Phyllostomus hastatus (greater spear-nosed bat) is the source of this 684-nucleotide long non-coding RNA. RefSeq lists it as uncharacterized. The record is from RefSeq and is a predicted model, not a curated record. The transcript has 2 exons. Lineage: Eukaryota; Metazoa; Chordata; Mammalia; Chiroptera; Phyllostomidae.
UCUGGCCACAGGUGUGAUGGCCGAUGCCAAAUGGUCUUCUAAAAAAAGAAAGUAGGAAGGAGUGAGAAAGCCACGCCCUCGGCCUCUCCAACACCUCUCAUCAGUCUCUUUCUGCUCUUUGUAGAUGCACCUGCUCAGUUCCUGGAGAGAUUCCCUUAACAUCAUCCAGUUACUAUAUGAAGAUGCUAUGUUGUUCUUAUGAAGUCUUGUCAGUGUCUUAUUCAACCUGGGAUUCUCUGAAGUCAACAGAAUCCCAUUCAAGAUACAGAUUCAACCCAAGUGUGUCUUGUGGAAAAGGAGGAAAUCAGAUGCACAGGUUUUGACUUGUUUUCACAGAGAACCAGUUCUCGGGGUGAACCCGUGACAACAUCAAUGUUAUAACAGCAAUCACUGACUGACCUGAAUUUGCCUAAGCUUUUGGUAAGGGUAUCAAAAUUCUCAUACUUAAUAGAUUUAGACCUUUUCUUAUAUGAAGGACUAUGUAACCUAUUAAAGUCUUUUAUUAUUAUUGUAUUAGAUAAUUAAUUCAAUCUAUCUUUCCUUCAGGCAAGCCAAGUUUGUCCUACAUAUUGUCAUUACCUUGGACUAUGAGUGAAUUCUCAGAACUUCCAUUAAUUUGUACAUGACACGGAAUUAUUGCAUGUAUUGUCACAGUAAUGAAGUCAAUAAACAGUAACCUGAAAA